RNAcentral lists this ribosomal RNA (252 nucleotides) under Aeromonas allosaccharophila. RNAcentral describes it as "partial 23S ribosomal RNA". It matches the Rfam family "Bacterial large subunit ribosomal RNA", at positions 346 to 608 of the family's 2925-position model. Lineage: Bacteria; Pseudomonadati; Pseudomonadota; Gammaproteobacteria; Aeromonadales; Aeromonadaceae. The record is from RNAcentral.
AAAGGCCAGCGAUACAGGGUGAUAGCCCCGUACAUGAAAACGACCUUGAAGUGAAAUCGAGUAGGGCGGGACACGUGACAUCCUGUCUGAAUAUGGGGGGACCAUCCUCCAAGGCUAAAUACUCCUGACUGACCGAUAGUGAACCAGUACCGUGAGGGAAAGGCGAAAAGAACCCUGUGAGGGGAGUGAAAUAGAACCUGAAACCGUGUACGUACAAGCAGUGGGAGCCCUUCGGGGUGACUGCGUACCUUU